AAAGAUUAAUCUUGUAUUUAGGCACAGCUUUUGAGGCUUUGGUAGGAAAACCAUGCGUUAGGGAAUAUCCUGACCUAAACACCUUGAUCUUUGGUUCAUGACCCUAUCAGAGCCAGACAAGGGCUCCCGGACAAUGAAUUAAACUGUGUUGAUUCCUCCGCCCACAGACACUCAAAGCUUACUCUCUCCACUGUUACAUAAGAGUCUCUGGAAUCCUAGGAUGGUGUUUGUAAAUACUGCUGCCACGUGCACGGUACCCACGUGUCAAAUGUUGAUGUGACCGCGUGUAACUGGAAGGAGAGAAAGCGUCUACAAUUUCCAAAGAGAAGCCUACUAUUUUUUGGCCCUAAAAAUGAGCAUACAGAUGUCAAGGAAUUAUCACUAACUAAGGGUGAUUUAUUUGUCUUUUCUUUCUUUUUUUUUUUCCAAAAAAGAGGAAGAACUGUAAUAUUUUUUUCCUGUUGCAUUUCUUGUAAUCUAAAUUAACUGCUCUACCUAAUUCAAUUUAGGAUCAGUUUUACAAUUUCAGCAAUGCAUUCUGAAUGCACUUUCUACUUCCUCUAUUUGCAGGACUUAUUCCUGCUUGCUUAUUUACUUCAGUGUAAACU
RNAcentral lists this long non-coding RNA (608 nucleotides) under Homo sapiens (human). RNAcentral's name for it is "HSALNT0075780". The record is from RNAcentral. Lineage: Eukaryota; Metazoa; Chordata; Mammalia; Primates; Hominidae.